AUGGAUCAUAGGAUUGUGGUCCCCUGUCUUGAUGGUAGAAGCGAAGGUUUACUAUUAGUCUGGAAGAAGGAGGUGAGGAUCUACUCCCGGACUAAUACGUUUAAUUGCAUUGAUGUCUCCAUUAAAGAAGUGGAUGGUAGAGUAUGGAGGCUUACGGGUUUGUAUGGAGAACCAAGCUGGGAUAAUAAGAACAAAACAUACCAGCUGAUCCGAGACCUUCAUGCCCACUCUAACUUACCAUGGGUCGUUAUUGGUGACUUCAACGAAAUAUUACUAUCGUCAGAAAAAGAAGGAGGAGUCCAGCGGCAAUAGUCUAGGCUAAAAACUUUCCAAGAUGCCCGGUCAUACUACUCCUUGGAGGAUAUUGGAUACCAUGGCGACAAGUUUACCUUUUUCAGAGGAGGACUGCGAGAAAGGUUGGAUCGAGCAGUAUCAAACCCGGGAUGGAUGGAUAUGCAUCCUUUAUGUGGUCUUGUGAACCUGGAUAUGGGCGAGUCAGACCACAAACCUAUUUGUCUGGAUACUGAAUACCUGGUGGGUGUCGCAGCUCAACGGCAUCGGCCAGGAAGAAAAUUUGAGGCAAGAUGGCUUGAAUAG
RNAcentral lists this ribosomal RNA (597 nucleotides) under Triticum aestivum (bread wheat). RNAcentral describes it as "partial small subunit ribosomal RNA". Lineage: Eukaryota; Viridiplantae; Streptophyta; Magnoliopsida; Poales; Poaceae. The record is from RNAcentral.